UUCCGUAGGGUGAACCUGCGGAGGGAUCAUUACCGAGUUUACAACUCCCAAACCCAAUGUGAACGUUACCAAACUGUUGCCUCGGCGGGAUCUCUGCCCCGGGUGCGUCGCAGCCCCGGACCAAGGCGCCCGCCGGAGGACCAACCAAAACUCUUUUUGUAUACCCCCUCGCGGGUUUUUUAUAAUCUGAGCCUUCUCGGCGCCUCUCGUAGGCGUUUCGAAAAUGAAUCAAAACUUUCAACAACGGAUCUCUUGGUUCUGGCAUCGAUGAAGAACGCAGCGAAAUGCGAUAAGUAAUGUGAAUUGCAGAAUUCAGUGAAUCAUCGAAUCUUUGAACGCACAUUGCGCCCGCCAGUAUUCUGGCGGGCAUGCCUGUCCGAGCGUCAUUUCAACCCUCGAACCCCUCCGGGGGGUCGGCGUUGGGGAUCGGCCCUGCCUCUUGGCGGUGGCCGUCUCCGAAAUACAGUGGCGGUCUCGCCGCAGCCUCUCCUGCGCAGUAGUUUGCACACUCGCAUCGGGAGCGCGGCGCGUCCACAGCCGUUAAACACCCAACUUCUGAAAUGUUGACCUCGGAUCAGGUAGGAAUACCCGCUGAACUUAAGCAUAUCAAUAAGCGGAGG
This 620-nucleotide ribosomal RNA is filed under the name Trichoderma harzianum. RNAcentral's name for it is "eukaryotic LSU rRNA". The stretch from base 233 to 386 matches the Rfam family "5.8S ribosomal RNA". Lineage: Eukaryota; Fungi; Ascomycota; Sordariomycetes; Hypocreales; Hypocreaceae. The record is from RNAcentral.